UCCAGACUCCUACGGGAGGCAGCAGUGGGGAAUAUUGCACAAUGGGGGGAACCCUGAUGCAGCGACGCCGCGUGGGUGAAGGAGUACUUCGGUACGUAAAGCCCUCUCAGCAGGAAAGAAAAUGACGGUACCUGACUAAGAAGCCCCGGCUAACUACGUGCCAGCAGCCGCGGUAAUACGUAGGGGGCAAGCGUUAUCCGGAAUUAUUGGGUGUAAAGGGUGCGUAGACGGAAGAACAAGUUGGUUGUGAAAUCCCUCGGCUCAACUGAGGAACUGCAACCAAAACUAUUCUCCUUGAGUGUCGGAGAGGAAAGUGGAAUUCCUAGUGUAGCGGUGAAAUGCGUAGAUAUUAGGAGGAACACCAGUGGCGAAGGCGGCCUGCUGGACGACAACUGACGGUGAGGCGCGAAAGCGUGGGGAGCAAACAGGAUUAGAUACCCGCGUACC
RNAcentral lists this ribosomal RNA (447 nucleotides) under uncultured bacterium. RNAcentral describes it as "bacterial SSU rRNA". It matches the Rfam family "Bacterial small subunit ribosomal RNA", at positions 330 to 794 of the family's 1533-position model. The record is from RNAcentral.